UGAGAAGUCCGAAAUCAAGAUGCCUGAGGAU
This 31-nucleotide non-coding RNA is filed under the name Homo sapiens (human). Lineage: Eukaryota; Metazoa; Chordata; Mammalia; Primates; Hominidae. The record is from RNAcentral.